This 259-nucleotide ribosomal RNA is filed under the name uncultured bacterium. RNAcentral describes it as "partial 16S ribosomal RNA". It matches the Rfam family "Bacterial small subunit ribosomal RNA", at positions 338 to 614 of the family's 1533-position model. The record is from RNAcentral.
CCUACGGGGCGCAGCAGUGGGGAAUAUUGCACAAUGGGGGAAACCCUGAUGCAGCGACGCCGCGUGAAGGAUGAAGUAUUUCGGUAUGUAAACUUCUAUCAGCAGGGAAGAAAAUGACGGUACCUGACUAAGAAGCCCCGGCUAACUACGUGCCAGCAGCCGCGGUAAUACGUAGGGGGCAAGCGUUAUCCGGAUUUACUGGGUGUAAAGGGAGCGUAGACGGCAUGGCAAGUCUGAUGUAAAAACCCGGGGCUCAACC